RNAcentral lists this ribosomal RNA (87 nucleotides) under Myosotis sp. Gostel 196. RNAcentral's name for it is "partial 5.8S ribosomal RNA". It matches the Rfam family "5.8S ribosomal RNA", at positions 73 to 154 of the family's 154-position model. From Rfam's summary of the family: 5.8S ribosomal RNA (5.8S rRNA) is a component of the large subunit of the eukaryotic ribosome. It is transcribed by RNA polymerase I as part of the 45S precursor that also contains 18S and 28S rRNA. Functionally, it is thought that 5.8S rRNA may be involved in ribosome translocation. The record is from RNAcentral. RNAcentral also lists the same sequence under 1 other name. Lineage: Eukaryota; Viridiplantae; Streptophyta; Magnoliopsida; Boraginales; Boraginaceae.
UGCAGAAUCCCGUGAACCAUCGAGUCUUUGAACGCAAGUUGCGCCUGAAGCCAUUAGGCCAAGGGCACGUCUGCCUGGGCGUCACGC